RNAcentral lists this ribosomal RNA (375 nucleotides) under uncultured bacterium. RNAcentral describes it as "bacterial SSU rRNA". It matches the Rfam family "Bacterial small subunit ribosomal RNA", at positions 28 to 402 of the family's 1533-position model. The record is from RNAcentral.
GAUGAACGCUAGCGGCAGGCCUAAUACAUGCAAGUCGAACGGUAAGGCCCUUUCGGGGGUACGACGAGUGGCGGACGGGUGCGUAACGCGUAUGCAACAUACCUUCAAGCGGGGAGUAUGCCAGGGAAACUUGGUGCAACACCCCAUAGCAUUUCGGGUACCGCAUGGUCUUGGGAUUAAAUAUUUAUAGCUUGGAGAUUGGCAUGCGUGACAUUAGCUAGUUGGCGGGGUAACGGCCCACCAAGGCGACGAUGUCUAGCUGGUCUGAGAGGAUGAUCAGCCACACUGGGACUGAGACACGGCCCAGACUCCUACGGGAGGCAGCAGUGGGGAAUCUUGCGCAAUGGGCGAAAGCCUGACGCAGCGACGCCGCGU